Molecule: ribosomal RNA, 874 nt
Filed under: Salmonella enterica subsp. enterica
Lineage: Bacteria; Pseudomonadati; Pseudomonadota; Gammaproteobacteria; Enterobacterales; Enterobacteriaceae
Description: partial 23S ribosomal RNA
Rfam family: Bacterial large subunit ribosomal RNA
Source: RNAcentral
GGUUAAGCGACUAAGCGUACACGGUGGAUGCCCUGGCAGUCAGAGGCGAUGAAGGACGUGCUAAUCUGCGAUAAGCGCCGGUAAGGUGAUAUGAACCGUUAUAACCGGCGAUUUCCGAAUGGGGAAACCCAGUGUGACUCGUCACACUAUCAUUAACUGAAUCCAUAGGUUAAUGAGGCGAACCGGGGGAACUGAAACAUCUAAGUACCCCGAGGAAAAGAAAUCAACCGAGAUUCCCCCAGUAGCGGCGAGCGAACGGGGAGGAGCCCAGAGCCUGAAUCAGCAUGUGUGUUAGUGGAAGCGUCUGGAAAGGCGCGCGAUACAGGGUGACAGCCCCGUACACAAAAGCGCAUGUGCUGUGAGCUCGAUGAGUAGGGCGGGACACGUGGUAUCCUGUCUGAAUAUGGGGGGACCAUCCUCCAAGGCUAAAUACUCCUGACUGACCGAUAGUGAACCAGUACCGUGAGGGAAAGGCGAAAAGAACCCCGGCGAGGGGAGUGAAAAAGAACCUGAAACCGUGUACGUACAAGCAGUGGGAGCCCCACCACUAAGCCAGUGGUGAACUCCACAUACGCAUCCUUUGCUGAGGAUACGGUUAACGGAGCGAAAGCGACGUUCAACCUCAAAAGAAGCAGAGGGGGCUUAGUGGUGGGGUGACUGCGUACCUUUUGUAUAAUGGGUCAGCGACUUAUAUUCUGUAGCAAGGUUAACCGUAUAGGGGAGCCGGAGGGAAACCGAGUCUUAAUUGGGCGUUAAGUUGCAGGGUAUAGACCCGAAACCCGGUGAUCUAGCCAUGGGCAGGUUGAAGGUUGGGUAACACUAACUGGAGGACCGAACCGACUAAUGUUGAAAAAUUAGCGGAUGACCUGUGGCU